GAUGAACGCUGGCGGCGUGCCUAAUACAUGCCAGUCGAGCGAACAGACGAGGAGCUUGCUCCUCUGACGUUAGCGGCGGACGGGUGAGUAACACGUGUAUAACCUACCUAUCAGACUGGGAUAACUUCGGGAAACCGGCGCUAAUACCGGAUAAUAUAUUGAACCGCAUGGUUCAAUAGUGAAAGACGGUUUUGCUGUCACUUAUAGAUGGAUCCGCGCCGCAUUAGAUAGUUGGUAAGGUAACGGCUUACCACGGCAACGAUGCGUAGCCGACCUGAGAGGGUGAUCGGCGACCCUGGAGCUGAGACACGGACCAGACUACUACGGGAGGCAGCAGUAGGGAAUCUGCCGCAGCGGGCGGAAGCCUGACGGAGCAACGCCGCGUGAGUGAUGAAGGUCUUCGGAUCGUAAAAAUCUGUUAUGAGGGAAGAACAAAUGUGUAAGUAACUAUGCACGUCUUGACGGUACCUAAUCAGAAAGCCACGGCUAACUACGUG
This 497-nucleotide ribosomal RNA is filed under the name uncultured bacterium. RNAcentral describes it as "partial 16S ribosomal RNA". It matches the Rfam family "Bacterial small subunit ribosomal RNA", at positions 28 to 507 of the family's 1533-position model. The record is from RNAcentral.